AUGCCUGUAGCUUAUCAGUGGUAAGAGCGUCGGUCUGAUAAGCCGAAAGUCAGUGGUUCAAAUCCACUUAGGCAUACCA
Molecule: transfer RNA, 79 nt
Filed under: Parcubacteria group bacterium
Lineage: Bacteria
Description: tRNA-Ile
Rfam family: tRNA
About the family: Transfer RNA (tRNA) molecules are approximately 80 nucleotides in length. Their secondary structure includes four short double-helical elements and three loops (D, anti-codon, and T loops).
Source: RNAcentral